RNAcentral lists this ribosomal RNA (478 nucleotides) under uncultured bacterium. Its description in RNAcentral is "partial 16S ribosomal RNA". It matches the Rfam family "Bacterial small subunit ribosomal RNA", at positions 28 to 523 of the family's 1533-position model. The record is from RNAcentral.
GACGAACGCUGGCGGCGUGCUUAACACAUGCAAGUCGAACGGUAAGGCCCUUCGGGGUACACGAGUGGCGAACGGGUGAGUAACACGUGGGUGAUCUGCCCUGCACUUCGGGAUAAGCCUGGGAAACUGGGUCUAAUACCGGAUAGGACCACUGCCUGCAUGGGUGGUGGUGGAAAGCUUUUGCGGUGUGGGAUGGGCCCGCGGCCUAUCAGCUUGUUGGUGGGGUGAUGGCCUACCAAGGCGACGACGGGUAGCCGGCCUGAGAGGGUGACCGGCCACACUGGGACUGAGAUACUGCCCAGACUCCUACGGGAGGCAGCAGUGGGGAAUAUUGCACAAUGGGCGCAAGCCUGAUGCAGCGACGCCGCGUGAGGGAUGACGGCCUUCGGGUUGUAAACCUCUUUCAGCACCGACGAAGCGCAAGUGACGGUAGGUGCAGAAGAAGGACCGACCAACUACGUGCCAGCCGCCGCGGUAA